RNAcentral lists this non-coding RNA (165 nucleotides) under uncultured Terrisporobacter sp. The record is from RNAcentral. Lineage: Bacteria; Bacillati; Bacillota; Clostridia; Peptostreptococcales; Peptostreptococcaceae.
UUAAUUUUAUGGUUCUAUUUAUAUAGAUUAAAAGGGAAAGAGGUGUGAUUCCUCUACAGCCCCCGUUACUGUAAUGUGGACGAAACUCAGAUUACCACUGUGAUUUUUAAUCAUGGGAAGGUGAGGAGUAGGACGAUACUAAGUCAGGAAACCUGCCUAAAUGCA